RNAcentral lists this ribosomal RNA (468 nucleotides) under uncultured bacterium. Its description in RNAcentral is "partial 16S ribosomal RNA". It matches the Rfam family "Bacterial small subunit ribosomal RNA", at positions 28 to 507 of the family's 1533-position model. The record is from RNAcentral.
GAUGAACGCUGGCGGCGUGCCUAACACAUGCAAGUCGAACGGAAAGACCAGGCUCUUGCUCGGUGCUCGUGUGGCGAAGGGGGGAGAAACACGUGAGGAACCUGCCCUUGACAUUGGGGUAACUUCUGGAAACUGCGGAUAAUACCGGGUAGAAGAUCCUGCUGCACGGUGGGGAUUGGAAAGUUUCGGCGGUUGUGGCAGGACUCGCGGGUUACCCGCUAGUUGGUGAGGUAGUGGCUUACCAAGGUUUUGACGGGUAGCCGGCCUGAGAGGUUGACCGGCGUCAUUGGGACUGAGAUACGGCCCAGACGCCAACGGGAGGCAGCAGGGGGAAAUAUUGCACAGUGGGCGGGAGCGUGAUACAGCAACCCCGAGUGCGGAAUAACGGGCUUCGGGUUAUAAACCGCUGUCGCCGGAGACGAAGCCUGAGUGACGGUAAUGGAUAAAGAAGCACCGGCUAACUACGUG